RNAcentral lists this ribosomal RNA (468 nucleotides) under uncultured bacterium. Its description in RNAcentral is "partial 16S ribosomal RNA". It matches the Rfam family "Bacterial small subunit ribosomal RNA", at positions 28 to 507 of the family's 1533-position model. The record is from RNAcentral.
GACGAACGCUGGCGGCGUGCUUAACACAUGCAAGUCGAACGGAAAGGCCCUGCUUUUGUGGGGUGCUCGAGUGGCGAACGGGUGAGUAACACGUGAGUAACCUGCCCUUGACUUUGGGAUAACUUCAGGAAACUGGGGCUAAUACCGGAUAGGAGCUCCUGCUGCAUGGUGGGGGUUGGAAAGUUUCGGCGGUUGGGGAUGGACUCGCGGCUUAUCAGCUUGUUGGUGGGGUAGUGGCUUACCAAGGCUUUGACGGGUAGCCGGCCUGAGAGGGUGACCGGCCACAUUGGGCCUGAGAUACGGCCCAGACUCCUACGGGAGGCAGCAGUGGAGAAUAUUGCACAAUGGGCGGAAGCGUGAUGCAGCAGCGCCGCGUGCGGGAUGACGGCCUUCGGGUUGUAAACCGCUUUCGCCUGUGACGAAGCGUGAGUGACGGUAAUGGGUAAAGAAGCACCGGCUAACUACGUG